RNAcentral lists this long non-coding RNA (369 nucleotides) under Ananas comosus (pineapple). RNAcentral describes it as "long non-coding RNA (ACOM_LNC031775)". The record is from RNAcentral. Lineage: Eukaryota; Viridiplantae; Streptophyta; Magnoliopsida; Poales; Bromeliaceae.
UAGGAAUGUCAACGAGUCAACUCGGAGCAGAUUAUCAAAAAUAUGAAUCUGAACCAGACGACCAAAAUCGAAACCUGAACUUGAACUCGAACCUUAAUUCGAAUCCAAAUCCGACCAAGUUUGAAAAUCCAAAUCCAAAACCGAACCCAACCGCCGAAACCAGACUCCGAAUCCGAAAUAAUUAUUCUUUUCACCGUACUUCAAAAUAUAAUAUUACAUUAAAAUCUAAUGUUUACAUUUUAAAUACAAUAUUAAAUAUUUAUUAUUCGGGUUCGGGUUCAAUACAAACAAAGUUUAUAUCUGAGUCCGAAUCCGUCGAGUUUUUAUUUUUCAUAUUCGUAUCUGAAACCAUUUUUAUUUAACAUCAGG